UACGGAGGGUGCAAGCGUUGUUCGGAAUCACUGGGCGUAAAGCGCGUGUAGGCGGCCUCCUAAGUCUGGUGUGAAAGCCCGGGGCUCACCCCCGGAAGUGCAUCGGAUACUGGGAGACUGGAGUACCGGAGAGGAGGGUGGAAUUCCUGGUGUAGCGGUGAAAUGCGUAGAUAUCAGGAGGAACACCCGUAGCGAAGGCGGCACUCUGGGCCGGUACUGACGCUGAGGAGCGAAAGCGUGGGGAGCAAACAGG
Molecule: ribosomal RNA, 253 nt
Filed under: uncultured bacterium
Lineage: Bacteria
Description: partial 16S ribosomal RNA
Rfam family: Bacterial small subunit ribosomal RNA
Source: RNAcentral